This 76-nucleotide transfer RNA is filed under the name Lentisphaerae bacterium ADurb.Bin082. Its description in RNAcentral is "tRNA-Met". It matches the Rfam family "tRNA". From Rfam's summary of the family: Transfer RNA (tRNA) molecules are approximately 80 nucleotides in length. Their secondary structure includes four short double-helical elements and three loops (D, anti-codon, and T loops). Further hydrogen bonds mediate the characteristic L-shaped molecular structure. tRNAs have two regions of fundamental functional importance: the anti-codon, which is responsible for specific mRNA codon recognition, and the 3' end, to which the tRNAs corresponding amino acid is attached (by aminoacyl-tRNA synthetases). tRNAs cope with the degeneracy of the genetic code in two manners: having more than one tRNA (with a specific anti-codon) for a particular amino acid; and 'wobble' base-pairing, i.e. permitting non-standard base-pairing at the 3rd anti-codon position. RNAcentral also lists the same sequence under 3 other names. Lineage: Bacteria; Pseudomonadati; Lentisphaerota. The record is from RNAcentral.
GCCGGGCUAGCUCAGUCGGUAGAGCAGUGGAAUCAUAAUCCACGUGUCAUUGGUUCGAGUCCGAUGCCCGGUACCA